Molecule: long non-coding RNA, 538 nt
Organism: Drosophila teissieri
Lineage: Eukaryota; Metazoa; Arthropoda; Insecta; Diptera; Drosophilidae
Exons: 3
Source: RefSeq, a predicted model, not a curated record
UCUUUAGUCUGAAGAAUGUUUUGUGGUGUACUUGAAUCUGUGCUUCGCGAGUCAGCUGCUUUUGCGCUUAUAUUGAAUUUGGUGACUGAGCUACUGGCGGUGGCAUUAUCAGGAAUCGUAUUAACACUCUCCAUAUCCGCUGCUCUGGAUCAAUGACUAGCAUUUUACUAAGAAGAUUUCUAGCGUCAGAAGCCUUCCUGCGGCUAUUCUGAUUAUUAUCAUUUGGAAACAAGCCAUCGGGGAAAAGUCUAUCAAAUGAGUAUCCAGUGUAUCUAGGACGAUUUUCCACAUAGUUUCGGACGGUUGGCUGUAACCGCUGCAUAAAUGAGGGAGAUGGUGUACCUAAUUGCUCUGAAACGAAAAAUGCUGACGGUCAUAACGAGAAUCAAGCCUAACGAAACAGCACACCGCCCCUUAUCAUUUCGCCCAUGAUGCACCCAACGGACCAUAUGUCCACGUUCUCGGUGUACCCCAUGCCCAAAAUGACCUCCGGAGCCCUGUAGUAUCGGGUGACCACAUAGGGAGUCAUCAUGAAGGU